CACGCACACGGACACACACACACCACACCUGGGCACACACACACGGACACACAAAGACACAGACACAGAUAGCUUGAAGUAAGGGAGGAGACUACCCCUCAUAUUGUCUUAUGCCCAAUUUCUGCCUCCAAAGAAAGAAGAAGUAAAAUCUAAAAGGCAGAAAUGAAAUCCACAGCCAGACAGCCCUGCGCCACACCCUGGGCCUGGUAGUUAAAGAUCGACCCCUGACCUACUCUGUUAUGUUAUCUAUAGAUUACAGACAUCGUAUAGAAAAGCACUGUGAAAAUCCCUGUCCUGUUUUGUUCUGAUAUAAUUACCGGUGCAUGCAGCCACCAGUCACAUACCCUCUGCUUCCUCAAUCCAUCAGGACCUUCUCACGCGGACCCCCUUAGAGUUGUAAGCUCUUAAGAGGGACAGGAAUUGCUCACUCAGAGAGCUCGGUUUUUGGAGA
Molecule: long non-coding RNA, 451 nt
Filed under: Homo sapiens (human)
Lineage: Eukaryota; Metazoa; Chordata; Mammalia; Primates; Hominidae
Description: HSALNT0288172
Source: RNAcentral